CCCUUAGAUGUUCUGGGCCGCACGCGCGCUACACUGAACAGUUCAACAAGUCUUAACCUUGGCCGAUAGGUCUGGGUAAUCUUUGAACGCUGUUCGUGAUUGGGAUAGACCUUUGCAAUUAUGGGUCUUCAACGAGGAAUUCCUAGUAAACGCAAGUCAUCAGCUUGCAUUGAUUACGUCCCUGCCCUUUGUACACACCGCCCGUCGCACCUACCGAUUGAAUGGUCCGGUGAAAUCUCGGGACGGCGGCUUGGUCGCUUGCGUCCGACUGCUGAAACUUGAUUAAACCAUAUCAUUUAGAGGAAGGUGANGUCGUAACA
RNAcentral lists this ribosomal RNA (320 nucleotides) under uncultured eukaryote. RNAcentral's name for it is "partial 18S ribosomal RNA". It matches the Rfam family "Eukaryotic small subunit ribosomal RNA", at positions 1470 to 1796 of the family's 1831-position model. The record is from RNAcentral.